UGAAAACCGCCGCCCGCUUGCAUUAAGGGCGUAUGAGACCUUAUAUUAGUUCAACUUCAAGACAUAUUGAUUUUUCAUGGUGAUGAGAUCAACACAGCACGUUUGCUUGCCCAGUCUAGGCCGGAAGCCGGCCUCUGGCUGAAUGCCCUGCCUUCGGCUCACAUCGGUAAUCUGUUGGGAGAUGACGAACUGAAGAUCAGCAUUGGUCUCCGCCUCGGUGCCACGAUCUGUGACCCUCAUGACUGCGCUAAAUGCCAUAAACCAGUUGAUGGUUAUGGGCACCACGGGCUGUCAUGUGCCUUUUCCGCAGGACGGCAUCCGCGUCAGCGGUAAAACAGUAUCUUUUGCAGAAGUUUUGUAUCUGCAGGUGUACCUGCAAAACUGGAGCCGCGCGGUACCUCCACACUACCGAACGCCACCCGGACGGCUGCACGACAUUCGCCUGGAAACGCGGGUUGUGUCUCGCAUAGGAUGUAACCUGCGUAGAUACAGUUGCGCCGUCACAUGUCAAAGCCACUUUUGCCACUGCGGGAGCGGCCGCCGUGCAAACGGAGGAUAAGAAGUCUAGAUUUUAUUCCUAUAUGGAUGACCGUUACGUGUUCGUACCGAUCGCCUUCGAGACGCUUGGAUCAUGGGGUCCGUCGGCGAUUGCAAUCGUCAAAGAGCUAGGGAAAAGACUGCAGCAGCACACGGGAGAAGCACCUCGCAUGAAUUUUUACGGCAGCGUUUUUGUCGAUAGAAAUCCAAAGGGGUUUUCAAGGGAAUUCCAACAUACCGAUGUAUGCCGGUGGGUGAUCGUGCAUGCGUAGGUCACAAGGAAAGCAAUGCCAAUCACUACUCUUGUCCCGUGAGGAAAUUGCUAUAAUUUCUCCCCGACUGACAGCUGAAUAAUGACAAUGCAAAUGGUCGCAAGAUCGCUUACAUCUGUAGCACACCCAAGACCUGUUGUUUACGUGAUAUUUUAAUGCGCCGAUUAAUCUAAUCAAGAGUACGUACAUUCACAUUUCAACGGGUUGUUACGCAAUCGUAAGUAUGCAGUGCAAAAUUGCUUUAAAAUAGCAACAUGCCAACAGCAAAGAAUUACCGGAAACAGGACUGAGUGCAUAAAUAGCGUUCGUCCCUUUUAUUUUUUUGUGGUAGAAUGGUCUGUCUUUGCCGCACUGUCAAAUCGACACGAUCGUGUAUAAUUUGUCUGAUGAGAA
This is a long non-coding RNA of Paramacrobiotus metropolitanus, 1202 nucleotides long. RefSeq lists it as uncharacterized. The record is from RefSeq and is a predicted model, not a curated record. The transcript is spliced from 3 exons. Lineage: Eukaryota; Metazoa; Tardigrada; Eutardigrada; Parachela; Macrobiotidae.